GCCAGGCACUUUGUUGCAUGCCUGUAAUCCCAGCUGCUUGGGAGGCUGAGGCAGGAGGAUCGUAACUUCAAAGCCACCAAUGGAGAGGCACUGAGCAACUCAGUGAAACCCUGUCUCUA
This 119-nucleotide small RNA is filed under the name Marmota monax (woodchuck). Lineage: Eukaryota; Metazoa; Chordata; Mammalia; Rodentia; Sciuridae. The record is from RNAcentral.